AGGACCAGCCUGCCCAGUGACCAUGUUCAACGGCCGCGGUAUCCUAACCGUGCGAAGGUAGCGUAAUCACUUGUUCUUUAAAUGUGGACUAGUAUGAAUGGCACCACGAAGGUUAUACUGUCUCCUUUUUCUAAUCAGUGAAACUAAUCUUCCCGUGAAGAAGCGGGAAUAUAUUUAUAAGACGAGAAGACCCUAUGGAGCUUUAAACAACACAGCAAUUACCUACUAAACUAUUAAGUUUCUGAAUAUUAACACUUUUAAGUAAUCUGACUGUAAGUUUUUGGUUGGGGUGACCACGGAGCAUAACACAACCUCCAUGCUGAAAGAACUCUUUCUAAGCUAAGAACAACCCAUCUAAGCAUCAAUAUAUUGACAUUCAUUGACCCAAUUCAUUUGACCAACGAACCAAGUUACCCUAGGGAUAACAGCGCAAUCCGCUUCAAGAGCUCCUAUCGACAAGUGGGUUUACGACCUCGAUGUUGGAUCAGGGUAUCCCAGUGGUGCAGCCGCUACUAAAGGUUCGUUUGUUCAACGAUUAAAACCCU
Molecule: ribosomal RNA, 545 nt
Filed under: Rhinella horribilis
Lineage: Eukaryota; Metazoa; Chordata; Amphibia; Anura; Bufonidae
Description: partial 16S large subunit ribosomal RNA
Rfam family: Bacterial large subunit ribosomal RNA
Source: RNAcentral